UGAUCCUGGCUCAGGAUGAACGCUGACAGAAUGCUUAACACAUGCAAGUCGACUGGAAUUCACCUUCGGGUGAUAGUACGGUGGCGGACGGGUGAGUAACGCUUAAAGAACUUGCCCUCUAGACUGGGACAACUGUUGGAAACGACAGCUAAUACCGGAUAUUAUGAGAACCUCGCAUGGGGAACUUAUGAAAGGCUAUAUGCGCUAGAGGAGAGCUUUGCGUGCCAUUAGGUAGUUGGUAGGGUAAUGGCCUACCAAGCCGACGAUGGCUAGCCGGCCUGAGAGGGUGAUCGGCCACAAGGGGACUGAGACACGGCCCUUACUCCUACGGGAGGCAGCAGUGGGGAAUAUUGGACAAUGGGCCACAAGCCUGAUCCAGCAAUUCUGUGUGCACGAUGAAGGUCUUCGGAUCGUAAAGUGCUUUCAGUAGGGAAGAAAAAAAUGACGGUACCUACAGAAGAAGCGACGGCUAAAUACGUGCCAGCAGCCGCGGUAAUACGUAUGUCGCAAGCGUUAUCCGGAAUUAUUGGGCGUAAAGCGCGUCUAGGCGGUCUUUUAAGUCUGAUGUUAAAAUGCGGGGCUCAACUCCGUAUUGCGUUGGAAACUGGAAGACUAGAGUAUCAGAGAGGUGGGCGGAACUACAAGUGUAGAGGUGAAAUUCGUAGAUAUUUGUAGGAAUGCCGAUUGGGAAGCCAGCUCACUGGAUGAAUACUGACGCUGAAGCGCGAAAGCGUGGGGAGCAAACGGGAUUAGAUACCCCGGUAGU
RNAcentral lists this ribosomal RNA (766 nucleotides) under uncultured marine bacterium. Its description in RNAcentral is "bacterial SSU rRNA". It matches the Rfam family "Bacterial small subunit ribosomal RNA", at positions 14 to 794 of the family's 1533-position model. The record is from RNAcentral.